RNAcentral lists this long non-coding RNA (2581 nucleotides) under Marmota monax (woodchuck). Lineage: Eukaryota; Metazoa; Chordata; Mammalia; Rodentia; Sciuridae. The record is from RNAcentral.
CUAGGGAUGCGACACCUGCUCUGGUUGCUGCCUCUGUUCCUGUUGGCAUGGCCAGGUAAGCUUGUGGGUGCCCUGCCCUGUGUCCCCAGGGCUCUGAGGACCCUGGCUGCCAUUCUGAGAGUCUGAUGUACGUGGACAUGCCCCCAGAAUGAUGUGCCCCUCUGCUGCCCAGAGAAGGAGCCAGGGCACAGGGCAGGACUUGCUCAGAGCCUCGGUUUCCUGCCCUAGAGAAUGCAUGGUGCUGUGACUUCUGGUGGGCUCCCAGAACCAGCAGUGGGCUGACUGCCAGGGUGGGCAGGCAGAUGGGGGAGCCAGAAUGAGGUGGAGGGUUUGGGAGGUGGGUGCUUUCCAAAAAGCAGGGUCCAGACCUGUGGGGUCGAUGGCUGUGGGGUGGGAGGCCUGGGUCCCUGAACUGAGGCAUCUCUUCUCCAGUCCAGGGCCUGAAGUGUCACUAGUGCUUGGCAUCAGGAAAUUGCUUCCAGCCCACGUCUUGCAGGGCUGACGCCCGAUACUGCCUGACGACCUGGAACAGUGAGUAUCUGCCUUCCGGGCAGGUGGGGGUCAGGGUGGUGUGGGGUGAGAUGUGGAUCUGACACCUGGAGCCUCCAGCAAAAAGGCAAGCCUGGGAAGUCCCCCAUUUCUAAUCUAGGCACUGAGAUUGGCCGGCAAUUGUUCAGGUAAACACUGUGAUUGUCUCUACCCUGCAAAAUGGGCACAACGCUGCUGCUUUCUUCCAAGUGGAAGAGCAGACAGGAUAUUCUGUCCACUCCACAUGCUGCACGGGAAACACAACAAUUCAGACUGUUCCCAAGGGUACCAGCUACUCAGAAAGGAAGAGUGGGGAAGUAGAGUAGCAGGUAGAAGCCCUAGUGGUGGUCACAUGCUGGGCCCUGACCCUGGUCACCUCCUGCCAUGCUUCCCUGUGGGGUGGGAGAGCAAGGAGGAAGCAUCAGGCAGGCUGUCGGGAGGCCUGAGUGUUUUGAGAGGGGCAGGAGCGGAUUCCACAGGUCUCAAUAAACAACUCUCUAUCUUGCCUCUUCCAGGUCCCCCAGGACAGAAAACGCUUGUUAUAAAGUCAUGUGCUUACACCUGCCCUGGCUUCCAAGAGAGCCUGAGUUACUCCAGAGCUUCCUGCUGCAACACAGACCUCUGCAACAGCACCGUGAGCCCCAGUGCCAGCUGGGGGUUGCUGGCCCUGAGUGUCUUGGGUGCCUACCUCAUCAGGUAAUGGUGGAGCUCAGUCCAAGGCACACCCAAGAGUACAGGACUAGGAGUCUGGAGCCAGGUUCCACUGGUGGCUGACAUGCUUUUUGGCCUUGGUGUGGCACUUCUGCACUUCCAACCAGAAGGACUCCAGGAGAGAAUGAACACAUAAGUGGCCUUUAAAGGACACUAGACACACCACUCAAGGUCAUUUCUGCUGUCCAGGUUGCUGCAUUCUGAUCACCAGCCUGAGAGCUGGCCAUCUCCCAGCCUCCAGGGGCCAUGCAGUUACAUGGUCCUGGUUAAGCCAGGCUGAAGCAGGAGCCUCUGGAAGUCCAAGCCGUUGUUCCUUUCCUGGUGUUUCAGGGCUCAAACUCCUAGCAACCUCAGAGAACCUGGGCUCUGUGCCACCACCUCAAGUGAGAAGGAUCCUUGGCGGACACUAGUGCUACAUUGCCAGCACUCAAGCUUGCUGCUGUGAGGCAGGCCAGGGACCAUGGAGAAAUGCCAAGCCUUCCACUGGCUGGGGCAGGGGCAAUUGGCCAUGUGGGGACAGAGGCACCCCUGAGCAUCACAUGGGGUGGUGUUGGUGGCAGCAGGGACAGCACAGAUAGCACAUGCAGCCCCCGGCGUCACCUUCUGUCUAGGGCUGGGCCUGCCCACCCACAUCAGAAUCUCAGCUGCGAGAACUCCUGUGCAUGCUGGAUCCAAGAGCACAGGGAUAAGAAGAGCAAGGGCCAGGCCUCACCCAGCUGUGAAGCUACUUCAGAGCCAAGCCUGAGGCCACCUCCCCUCUCUGCCUACAGCUUGGAUGAUGCCUGGGUCAGCUGGUCAACCCUCAGGAAUCAUACAUUUUUUAUUCAAGAGUGACUACCUCCAAAAAGAACAUAUAGCAGGUUCUUUCCUCAGAGACCUGAAAGCUCAGACAGCACCUGCCCUGCUCUUCCUAGUGGGGCCUCGACAGGCACUGGCCAGCAGAGCAGGCUAUGGAAGGGAAUUGUGGAGAGCCCACCAGCCUGCCCUGAGGUCCCUGGCUUCUCACCUGACUCUCCUCACCACCUACCUCACUUCUUUCUCCUCUUGGGGAGGGAAGGUGCACAGGCUCCUCACUUGCUACAACCCUCGGGCAAGGCUGGGGUCUCCUCUGACCCUAAACACUUACCAGGACCUCCUUCCUAACAAAGUUGGGACUCUUCUGCAAUUGGGCCCCUCAUUCUAGCCAUCAAGGGGACACAGCCUGAGAAGACUGGUGUCACCAACCUCCUCAGCAGCCCUGGUAUCACAACCUCACCCAAGUACCAGGCCUCAAGAUCCCCUUUGACCCAUCAUCCCAGAGGUGGGACAUCUAUAAAAACUUAAACAAGAAAUAUAAUAUUUA